Molecule: non-coding RNA, 134 nt
Organism: Deinococcus marmoris
Lineage: Bacteria; Thermotogati; Deinococcota; Deinococci; Deinococcales; Deinococcaceae
Source: Rfam
UUUCCACCGCGCUGCUCUGCUAACCUGCGCGCACCUGAGGAAGGGGAAGUCCGGUGAGAAUCCGGCGCUGUCGCGCAACGGUAUGCCACAAGCUGUGGUGAAGCCCGAAUGCCUCUCAGGGACGCCUCCACCAC